CCUUGAUUGACUCGUGCGCUCCGAGUAUGGAACAUCGUGUGCCUAAAAAUCCUGAGAAGGACAAUGAUGUGCAUUAUUAUUAGCCUGCCUGCCUUCCAUCUGUACGACGUGCGCACAAAAUAUAUGACAACGCUCAAGAGAAUUUGGCAGCACAUCCAUCUGGCCUCCGGCCUCGCAACCGCAGACCAUGUGUAACCAUGCCAGCCCAGGACCUCCACAUCCGUCUUCUUCACCUGCGGGAUCAUCUGAGACCAGCCACCUGGACAGUUGAUGAAACUGAGGAGUAUUUCUGUCUGUAAUGAAGACUUUUUGUGUGGAAAAACGAAUUCUGAUUGGCUGGACCUGGUUCGGACUUUUUCCUCCUCUCUGGCCGUGCCGUUGACAACCAUAGCCGUAAAGAGUACAACGUCCAGUUUUUAACCUGUAUAUCUGUGUCCUGCUGAUGAGAGCCAACCCCUGCCACCUGCAGUGAAUGCCUAUCCACCACCAUGGCCUUUCACUAAG
Molecule: long non-coding RNA, 504 nt
Filed under: Salmo salar (Atlantic salmon)
Lineage: Eukaryota; Metazoa; Chordata; Actinopteri; Salmoniformes; Salmonidae
Description: lncRNA (ENSSSAG00000109803.1)
Source: RNAcentral